Molecule: unclassified non-coding RNA, 1879 nt
Filed under: Helicoverpa zea (corn earworm)
Lineage: Eukaryota; Metazoa; Arthropoda; Insecta; Lepidoptera; Noctuidae
Description: uncharacterized LOC124640419, transcript variant X1
Source: RNAcentral
GGUACCUAUACAUAACAUACCUGUACAAUACGUGAAGUUGGAAGAAUUAAAAAAAAGAAACUGGCAACACUGAUCAAAUAUGGCGUGAUUUAGUAAUCAUCUUAAAAACGAAAAACAAAUGUGCAUAUUCUGGGCUACUUACCGAUGCUGGGAGACCAACCCCAAAUAUCCAAUGCAGGCUUCCGUUUCCACACCGACCGCAAGGCGAAGAGUACCCAUAAUUUCAAGGACUUUAUCUACAACGUCAGGAUGAAGAUGUUCCACGGUUCCACUGUACUUCUCUCUGACAACCCGACGCCAAUCUUCAAAUGUUUUGUGCGCCUCAUAGAACGCCUCAAACUCCAUGAUGGCCUCAGAUCUAGCGCUUACUACGGGGAAAUAAAAAAAAUAAUCACAGGGUUCAUGAAUUACUUUACAUUCACGAUAGAUGACGUAAUAAAAAAAAUAGAUAAAUACCUUCAUUUCUUGGAUAACAAACUUUUUGUGAAACUGAUAAAUGACACGAUAACUAUUUAUGAGCAAAACCAGGCUGCUUUCCUCAAAGAGUAUCUUCCGCUGAACAAUGAAGUAGAGAAAUUUAAAUACCAACAAGUCAUAGACGGACAGGCCAAGUUCUUGGAGGAACUCAGGCAGACAAGAGAUGCUUGGGAGUUCAGACAAGACAGAUUGCACGAGUUUGCAAAGGAAUAUUUCGAGGAGUCUCUUAAGAAAGUUAAUUACCUGUGCACCUUUGCACAUACAUAUCUUUCAGUGAUGUUAGCUGACCGACUUUACGAAAUAGCAGUGAGCGUGGAAGAGACGGUAGACCGCAUGAAUACAAACAUGCGCAAAUACAAUGAACAGUGUAACGAAAAGAUGAACACACUCAUACACAAUCUCUAUGAGAAGAAUAAGGAACAUUUGCAAAUAUAUAGACGACAUAAGAAGCGAUCCGUCGAUACUGCUGAAGUAACCCGAAGUAUAGAUGUGCUGAGGGACAAGAUAGAGCAGUACGGUAACGAAGAGACUAUUGCUCGAUUGGAGCUAGAAACUCGAUAUUGGAAUAAAAGACUAAAGGACUUCAAUGAGAUCGCUACCAUUCUGACUAAAAUACGCUCCGAACUCGACCAUCUGGAAACAGAUAUAGAGAAAUAUAACUCUAUUAGGUCGAUGGAAUUACCGAGUGCUAAGACCGUGUGUUUUGAACUAAUUGGUGAGAAUUUGAGAGAGAGGAUAGCGUAUCUUCAUGCAAAACAAUUGGAGAUGUCCAAAACGCUUAUAACUUUCUUCUGUGUAAGGGGAACUGAUCGUAUCCUAUACACGGACAGCGUUGGCUCGUACUAUUGUGACGAGUUCAACCAUCAGAACUACAUCACCAACUUCGGCUUGAAGUUCUUCCACGUCAAUUGUUACGGAGAAUUUUCUGAGAAUUUAGAAACCGAGCCUUACUACUUCGACGAAAAUGGCCGUUACAUUCUCCGUAACGGCGAGAAGUUCCACCAAGUUGCACCGUGCACCAGCGAGUACAAGUUAGGCGAAGAUGGCUUGUUCAAGAAGGUUACCAAAGAUUGUGGACAUUCGGAGAAAGUUAACCCUGACUGUCGCCUGGAGAUCAAGGAUCUGACUGACGUUGUUAUCUUGCCUAAGAACACUGACCUCAUUGAUAUGAGUGAUGAUUUGAAUCAACCCAUACAGAAUUACGUGAGCUAAGGAGGUUAGCUGACCAAUACCGUAAGAAGUUCUACAAUGAAAGACGAGAUAAAGCUGCCGAGGAGAGGAAGACUUGGAAGGAGAAGAACUUGCAUCGUCGCAAGCCGGACGUAUACGAGGACUCGGCAGAACUGGCGCAGUUCUCGCAGCAGGCCACAGCUUCACAAUUCAUUAAUAACAUGCAAUUCUA